RNAcentral lists this ribosomal RNA (799 nucleotides) under uncultured bacterium. RNAcentral's name for it is "bacterial SSU rRNA". It matches the Rfam family "Bacterial small subunit ribosomal RNA", at positions 44 to 804 of the family's 1533-position model. The record is from RNAcentral.
AAGACUUACAUNGCAGUCGAACGGAGUUGUUAUACAGAAGUUCUUCGGGAUGGAAAUAUAAGAACUUAGUGGCGGACGGGUGAGUAACGCGUGGGUAACCUGCCCUUUUGUGGGGAACAACUUCGAGAAAUCGGAGCUAAUACCGCAUAAUAAUAGAGAAUCGCAUGAUUUUCUAAGGAAAGAUGGCCUCUGAGAAUGCUAUCGCAAAAGGAUGGACCCGCGUCUGAUUAGCUAGUUGGAAGGGUAACGGCCUACCAAGGCAACGAUCAGUAGCCGGCCUGAGAGGGUGAACGGCCACAUUGGGACUGAGACACGGCCCAAACUCCUACGGGAGGCAGCAGUGGGGAAUCUUCCGCAAUGGGCGAAAGCCUGACGGAGCAAUGCCGCGUGAGUGAAGAAGGCCUUCGGGUUGUAAAACUCUGUCCUUAUCGAAGAGAGGUGGGUAUGUGAAUAAUGUACUCAUAGGACGGUAGAUAAGGAGGAAGCCCCGGCUAACUACGUGCCAGCAGCCGCGGUAAUACGUAGGGGGCGAGCGUUGUCCGGAAUCACUGGGCGUAAAGGGCGCGUAGGCGGUUUAAUAAGUCAGUGGUGAAAACUGAGGGCUCAACCCUCAGCCUGCCACUGAUACUGUUAGACUUGAGUAUGGAAGAGGAGAAUGGAAUUCCUAGUGUAGCGGUGAAAUGCGUAGAUAUUAGGAGGAACACCAGUGGCGAAGGCGAUUCUCUGGGCCAAGACUGACGCUGAGGCGCGAAAGCGUGGGGAGCAAACAGGAUUAGAUACCCUGGUAGUCCACGCCGUA